GACGAACGCUGGCGGCGUGCUUAACACAUGCAAGUCGAACGGAAAGGCCCUGCUUUUGUGGGGUGCUCGAGUGGCGAACGGGUGAGUAACACGUGAGUAACCUGCCCUUGACUUUGGGAUAACUUCAGGAAACUGGGGCUAAUACCGGAUAGGAGCUCCUGCUGCAUGGUGGGGGUUGGAAAGUUUCGGCGGUUGGGGAUGGACUCGCGGCUUAUCGGCUUGUUGGUGGGGUAGUGGCUUACCAAGGCUUUGACGGGUAGCCGGCCUGAGAGGGUGACCGGCCACAUUGGGACUGAGAUACGGCCCAGACUCCUACGGGAGGCAGCAGUGGGAAUAUUGCACAAUGGGCGGAAGCCUGAUGCAGCAACGCCGCGUGCGGGAUGACGGCCUUCGGGUUGUAAACCGCUUUCGCCUGUGACGAAGCGUGAGUGACGGUAAUGGGUAAAGAAGCACCGGCUAACUACGUG
RNAcentral lists this ribosomal RNA (467 nucleotides) under uncultured bacterium. Its description in RNAcentral is "partial 16S ribosomal RNA". It matches the Rfam family "Bacterial small subunit ribosomal RNA", at positions 28 to 507 of the family's 1533-position model. The record is from RNAcentral.